GGGUCAGUAGGUUGGUCGUGCCACCGGUACGUACUGGUCUCACUGAUUCCUCCUUCCUGAAGAACCGUAAUGCCAUUAAUUUGGUGUUGCGGGGAAACAGGACUGUUACUUUGAAAAAAUUAGAGUGUUUAAAGCAAGCUAAUGCUUGAAUACAUUAGCAUGGAAUAAUGUAAUAGGACGAUCGAUCCUAUUUUGUUGGUUUCUAGGAUUGACGUA
RNAcentral lists this ribosomal RNA (216 nucleotides) under Glomeromycotina sp. Its description in RNAcentral is "partial small subunit ribosomal RNA". The stretch from base 40 to 216 matches the Rfam family "Eukaryotic small subunit ribosomal RNA", at positions 686 to 864 of the family's 1831-position model. Lineage: Eukaryota; Fungi; Glomeromycota. The record is from RNAcentral.